Non-coding RNA from Callithrix jacchus (white-tufted-ear marmoset), 828 nucleotides. The record is from RefSeq and is a predicted model, not a curated record. Lineage: Eukaryota; Metazoa; Chordata; Mammalia; Primates; Cebidae.
CCGCCUCUCAGGUUCAAGUGAUUCUCCUGCCUCAGCCUCCCGAGUAGCUGGGAUUACAAGCAUGCACCAACAAGCCCAGCUAAUUCUUUUGUAUUUUUAGUACAGACGGGGUAUCACCAUGUUGGUCAGGCUUGUCUCCACCUCCUGACCUCAGGUAAUCCACUCAUCUCAGCCUCCCAAAGUGCAGGGAUUACAGGCGUGAGUCACUGCACCCAGCCUCCCUCUGCAGAUUCUAAGUGGGCUUGGGACUCAGCAUCUCUUCCUCAGGAAGGGAGGGAUGCACGCCAGGAAAUGGGGGAGCCCUGCCUUUAUUCCUUUCCCAUGUGUGCUCCCAGGGCCAGGGAUGAGGUAAUGUUAGAAGUGGAGCUGAAGUCUUGAAUGAGGCCAGCACUUGGGCGGAGUUGGAUUGGGCUGGUGUCAGGUUGGUAAGGGAGGGAAUUGGAAUCCACAUCGGGGUCGGAGAUCAGUCCCACCCUGGGGACGAGAGGUGGAGAAGACACAGUCCCAUCUGUCUCACAGCAGACAGGAUUUCACUCCUAUCACCCAGACUGGACUACAAUGGCAUGAUCUCAAACCCUUACCUUCUGGGCUCAAGCAAGUCUCCUGCCUCAGCCUCCCAAGUAGCUGGAAUUCCAGGCACCCGCCACCAGGCCUGCCUAAUAUUUUUUUUUUUUGUAACUACAGAGCUUCUUCAUGUCGCCCAGGCUAGUCUCAAACUCCUGAGCUCAAGCAAUCCGCCCUCCUCAGCCUUCCAAAUCACUGGAAUUACAGGCGUGAGCCACAAUGCCGGCCCCGAUAUAUUAAUAUUAAAACAUUUUCUUCAGCCUA